GACGAACGCUGGCGGCGUGCUUAACACAUGCAAGUGGAGCGACGAACCAGGGCUUGCCCUGGGGCAGGGCCGCGAACGGGUGAGUAACACGUGGGUUACCUACCCCGAUGACCGGGACAACCCGAGGAAACUCGGGCUAAUACCGGAUGUGGUCUUCGGACGAAAGGAAGCUUCGGCCUCCGCAUCGGGAUGGGCCCGCGGCGCAUUAGCUUGUUGGUGGGGUAACGGCCUACCAAGGCGACGAUGCGUAGCNGGUCUGAGAGGACGAUCAGCCACACUGGGACUGAGACACGGCCCAGACUCCUACGGGAGGCAGCAGUGGGGAAUCUUGCACAAUGCGCGAAAGCGUGAUGCAGCAACGCCGCGUGAGGGAAGACGGCCU
Molecule: ribosomal RNA, 382 nt
Filed under: uncultured bacterium
Lineage: Bacteria
Description: bacterial SSU rRNA
Rfam family: Bacterial small subunit ribosomal RNA
Source: RNAcentral